AAGAGAUUGGAGAUUGGGGGAAACCAGCAGUGUGAUCACACACUGCCAUCUGACUCCUGCUCCGGUGAUAGAGAAAGUGAGACCAGAAAAGUAAAGGGACUUUACUGAUCAUACACAAACCACCCUGUCCACCUAACUAGCUUGGGCUUCUUGGCAGCAUGACGGUCUCUGAGAAGUCAGACUUCCGUAGAGGUGCCUGGCUGGCACCAAGGGGCAGCCAGUUGCCAUGUCAUCAGGACACUCAAGCAGCCCCACCGGAAGAUCCACACAGGGAGGGAUUAAGGAGCCACUUUGGGGAGUAGGAUCUCCAGUCCAUUCAAGGCUUACGAUGAGACUGCAACCUUGGCUGACAUCAUGGCUGCAACUUCUUGUCAGAGACCCUGAACCAGAACCAUGUUAGGCCACUCCCAGGUUCCCGACCCACAGAAACUAUGAGAUUCUAAACAGUUAUUAUGGUAAGCCACUACGUUUUGGAAUAAUGGAUGACUAAUAUAACAGCCAUGGUAAAGAAUGAAACAUAAGGAAGACUAAUAAAUAGGGAACAUAAACAAAUGUGGCAAGAAAGAAG
This is a long non-coding RNA of Canis lupus familiaris (dog), 568 nucleotides long. RefSeq lists it as uncharacterized. NCBI's taxonomy places the organism in Eukaryota, Metazoa, Chordata, Mammalia, Carnivora, Canidae. The transcript has 3 exons. The record is from RefSeq and is a predicted model, not a curated record.